CAGAUAUGGAUGUCAAAAGAACCAGAUUGUGAUAUACCUAUACAAGUGAUAAUGUUGGCCUUGUAUAUAGAACUACAAUUAGGUCAUGCUGACAUUUCAAAAUCAAUAAUAAAACAGCAUUGUCCACAAUAUCGUUAGCAAUCAAGUAUUAUAUCGACUUCGAUCAUACAAGUACAUAUGAUGAAUAUUUAAAUAUUUUUAUUUAUAGAUACAAAAAUACUAAAUCUUUUAUAUCUUUCCACGUGAUUAUAUUUCUAAAAGCAAUUAUUAUGGAAGAAAAGAACUUUUCCAAUCACAGACAAGUAUAUU
Long non-coding RNA from Wasmannia auropunctata (little fire ant), 309 nucleotides. RefSeq lists it as uncharacterized. The record is from RefSeq and is a predicted model, not a curated record. The transcript has 2 exons. Lineage: Eukaryota; Metazoa; Arthropoda; Insecta; Hymenoptera; Formicidae.